CUAGUUGAGAUUAAAUGAUCUUAAAUGAGAAUUACAAUCUAAUGAGUCACUUAAUUUUACUUCCGGGUCACAAACCUCCAAAAGACCCACAAGCAUUUUACACGUGACAUUGAGAAGAAAUAUGACCUUAAAUGAGAAUUACAAUCUAGUGAGUCACUUAAUUUUACUUUUGGGUCACAAACCUCCAAAAGACCCACAAGCAUUUUACACGUGACAUUGAGAAGAAAUAUUCAGUAAUAAAUCACUAACAAACU
This 254-nucleotide long non-coding RNA is filed under the name Olea europaea (common olive). RNAcentral's name for it is "long non-coding RNA (OEUR_LNC014715)". Lineage: Eukaryota; Viridiplantae; Streptophyta; Magnoliopsida; Lamiales; Oleaceae. The record is from RNAcentral.